RNAcentral lists this ribosomal RNA (468 nucleotides) under uncultured bacterium. RNAcentral's name for it is "partial 16S ribosomal RNA". It matches the Rfam family "Bacterial small subunit ribosomal RNA", at positions 28 to 507 of the family's 1533-position model. The record is from RNAcentral.
GACGAACGCUGGCAGCGUGCUUAACACAUGCAAGUCGAACGGAAAGGCCCUGCUUUUGUGGGGUGCUCGAGUGGCGAACGGGUGAGUAACACGUGAGUAACCUGCCCUUGACUUUGGGAUAACUUCAGGAAACUGGGGCUAAUACCGGAUAGGAGCUCCUGCUGCAUGGUGGGGGUUGGAAAGUUUCGGCGGUUGGGGAUGGACUCGCGGCUUAUCAGCUUGUUGGUGGGGUAGUGGCUUACCAAGGCUUUGACGGGUAGCCGGCCUGAGAGGGUGACCGGCCACCUUGGGACUGAGAUACGGCCCAGACUCCUACGGGAGGCAGCAGUGGGGAAUAUUGCACAAUGGGCGGAAGCCUGAUGCAGCAACGCCGCGUGCGGGAUGACGGCCUUCGGGUUGUAAACCGCUUUCGCCUGUGACGAAGCGUGAGUGACGGUAAUGGGUAAAGAAGCACCGGCUAACUACGUG